AAAUGCGAUAAGUAAUGUGAAUUGCAGAAUUCCGUGAAUCAUCGAAUCUUUGAACGCACAUUGCGCCCUCUGGCAUUCCGGGGGGCAUGCCUGUCCGAGCGUCAUUACGCACCCUCAAGCCCGGCUUGUGUGAUGGGCCCCGGCGUCUCGUUCGCGAGACGGACCCGAAAGGCAGCGGCGGCGUCGACCCGAUGAGCCCGAGCGUAUGGGGACUUCUGUCACACGUUCGCGGUGCGGACCGGCGCCUGCUUUGACUUUUCUGAUUAUCCAGGUUGACCUCGGAUCAGGUAGGGAUACCCGCUGAACUUAAGC
RNAcentral lists this unclassified non-coding RNA (312 nucleotides) under plant metagenome. Its description in RNAcentral is "partial contains 5.8S ribosomal RNA, internal transcribed spacer 2, and large subunit ribosomal RNA". The stretch from base 1 to 104 matches the Rfam family "5.8S ribosomal RNA", at positions 51 to 154 of the family's 154-position model. The record is from RNAcentral.